This 643-nucleotide ribosomal RNA is filed under the name uncultured Actinomycetes bacterium. Its description in RNAcentral is "bacterial SSU rRNA". It matches the Rfam family "Bacterial small subunit ribosomal RNA", at positions 232 to 885 of the family's 1533-position model. The record is from RNAcentral. Lineage: Bacteria; Bacillati; Actinomycetota; Actinomycetes.
CGCGGCCUAUCAGCUUGUUGGUGAGGUAAUGGCUUACCAAGGCGACGACGGGUAGCCGGCCUGAGAGGGUGACCGGCCACACUGGGACUGAGACACGGCCCAGACUCCUACGGGAGGCAGCAGUGGGGAAUAUUGCACAAUGGGCGCAAGCCUGAUGCAGCGACGCCGCGUGAGGGAUGACGGUCUUCGGGUUGUAAACCUCUUUCAGUAGGGAAGAAGCGAAAGUGACGGUACCUGCAGAAGAAGCGCCGGCUAACUACGUGCCAGCAGCCGCGGUAAUACGUAGGGCGCAAGCGUUAUCCGGAAUUAUUGGGCGUAAAGAGCUCGUAGGCGGUUUGUCGCGUCUGCCGUGAAAGUCCGGGGCUCAACUCCGGAUCUGCGGUGGGUACGGGCAGACUUGAGUGAUGUAGGGGAGACUGGAAUUCCUGGUGUAGCGGUGAAAUGCGCAGAUAUCAGGAGGAACACCGAUGGCGAAGGCAGUGAUCUGGGCCGAUACUGACACUGAGGCGCGAAAGCGUGGGUAGCGAACAGGAUUAGAUACCCUGGUAGUCCACGCCGUAAACGUUGGGCAUUAGGUGUGGGGGACAUUCCACGUUUUCCGCGCCGUAGCUAACGCAUUAAGUGCCCCGCCUGGGGAGUACGG